GGGACAGAAUAUCUAAGGCUUUGUCCACAUCUGUAUCAUUUUCGCGAUCAGAUCUUCGUCGCGUAGCAUCGAAGCGUAUCAUGAUCGGUAGUGUGGACGUAAAAUGAUAGCGAUCAUCGGGGCGUAUCAUGAUCGCGAUCAUUUUGCGUCUACACUAGCGAUCAUG
This is a long non-coding RNA of Aricia agestis (brown argus), 166 nucleotides long. RefSeq lists it as uncharacterized. The transcript is spliced from 3 exons. The record is from RefSeq and is a predicted model, not a curated record. NCBI's taxonomy places the organism in Eukaryota, Metazoa, Arthropoda, Insecta, Lepidoptera, Lycaenidae.